This 87-nucleotide transfer RNA is filed under the name Clostridium sp. CAG:594. RNAcentral describes it as "transfer RNA-Leu(CAA)". It matches the Rfam family "tRNA". Rfam says of the family: Transfer RNA (tRNA) molecules are approximately 80 nucleotides in length. Their secondary structure includes four short double-helical elements and three loops (D, anti-codon, and T loops). Further hydrogen bonds mediate the characteristic L-shaped molecular structure. tRNAs have two regions of fundamental functional importance: the anti-codon, which is responsible for specific mRNA codon recognition, and the 3' end, to which the tRNAs corresponding amino acid is attached (by aminoacyl-tRNA synthetases). tRNAs cope with the degeneracy of the genetic code in two manners: having more than one tRNA (with a specific anti-codon) for a particular amino acid; and 'wobble' base-pairing, i.e. permitting non-standard base-pairing at the 3rd anti-codon position. The record is from RNAcentral. RNAcentral also lists the same sequence under 2 other names. Lineage: Bacteria; Bacillati; Bacillota; Clostridia; Eubacteriales; Clostridiaceae.
GCCGGUAUGGCGGAAUUGGUAGACGCGCUAGACUCAAAAUCUAGUGGUAGUAAUACCAUGUCGGUUCAAGCCCGACUACCGGUACCA